Molecule: long non-coding RNA, 679 nt
Filed under: Pongo abelii (Sumatran orangutan)
Lineage: Eukaryota; Metazoa; Chordata; Mammalia; Primates; Hominidae
Description: lincRNA
Source: RNAcentral
GAACAGAAUCAGGGCCUUGUGCAGAAUAAGAGAGAUGGAAAAUUCUCUGAGAAGUGAGAUGAUGGAUUGAUUAAAGGUGAAGGAAAGCAGUGAGCAUCAGUAAACCCAACAAAGAACAGAUUCAGGGUGGAUCCAGUUAAAACAGUUUCACAAUUUUCUCCAAUAACAGUUUGCAACCAUUCUUGAAGGCUGCAGACUUGGCAGACUUGGCAGACUUGGCAAGGUGGAACAGGAGAAAUACAAAGUAUGUAGCUGAUAUGGUUUGGCUGUGUCCCCACCCAAAGUCUUAUCUUGAAUUGUAAUCCCCAUAAUCCCCAUAUGUCAAGGGAGAGACCAGGUGGAGGUAAUCGAAUCAUGGGGGUGGUUUCCCCCAUGCUGUUGUCAUGAUCUCUCAGGAGAUCAGAUGGUUUUAUAAGUGUUUGGUAGUUCCUCCUGCAUUCAUUCUCCUUCUUGCUGCCUUGUGAAGAAGGUGCCUUGCUUCCCCUUCACCUUCCGCCAUGAUUGUAAGUUUCCUGAGGCCUCCUCAGCCAUGCUGAACUGAUGUGGAGCUGAGAAGCCCUGAUUUCCACUUUCUGACUCCUAGACUCAGCUGAUUUGAACCCCCCAGUGGAAUAGCAGCAGCCCAUCCGCAGCUUUCCUAGAAGUUCCUGACCUAGCAGCCUGAAAUGCAUUCUAAUCA